AAUUAUAAAAGAAAACUUUCUGAAGACAAAGAGAAGAGAGAAAGCAAGCAAGAAAAGACUCACUACAAAAGCUCUCAAAAAUUCCAGAACAACCUUUUCAUUUAUAACUUAUCUUUUAAACAUUGUAAAAAGAUUUUCAGUUGUUGGUUCUUUAAGCGUUUUUAAAGUUUGAUUCGAAGUAAGCUUGGAAGUUUUUCGGGUUUCCCGAAAGGGAAACUUCACUCAGUUCUAAUUAUGUAAGUAUUCAUAUCUAAGUUUCUGUUAAACUUCCCCUAUAUGUAAAUUAUGUGUGUUUAAAAUUAUUGUUAUAUAAAUAUGUGUUAACUAUUUUUUUAAGUUCAUGUAAAGAUAUAAAUAUUAUUAUGAAUCUAUUUUAUCUAGUAUAUGGUUAGUCUCUUAGCCUCUUAUGAAUAUCGAUGGAUUAACCUGUAAAUUCCUAGGACUAUGUCAGGUUAAAUGUUCUAAGAAGAACGAUGAAUAACCAAUUCCGGGGUGGGGUUAAAGAAGAUCAUUCGUAAGAACAAAAGGCUAAGGGAAAGAGAUGAAAGGUAUAGUAGAUUCGUAGUUAAAAAAAAAGUAUAAAUUUUAAGGGAAGUUGAAACUAGAAACUAGAGUGAUUAUUACUUAAUAGAACAAACGAGUGAAGGAGUACUCAGUAGGAUUUUACAACUAAAAGAAACAAACAAAACAAAAAUAUUGAAAUAUUAUCGAAACAUUAUUAUCGAAAUAACAGCCCUAUUUUAUUAUCGAAAUAUUAUUAUCGAAAUAACAAUAACUAAUAUGUGUAUAAGUUAUUUAUAUAUUAUUUUAUAUAAUAAAAGGUGAAAUAAUUGAUAAAAAAUUCCCACAUAACUAAAAAGAGAAGAACAAUUAGGAAAAAAAGAUUAAAAAAAUUAUAAAUGAGGUCCAAAUAAUGCAAACGAAAUAUUAUAAUUAUUAGAUUUAGGAGUGGGGUAAUAGGAAAAUGACUACACUAAUUGUCCAUGGACUUUAAUUACGUCAAGUAGAUCUAUAUCAUUGCAUUUUGAAACUUCAAAAAACUAGGUUUAGGCUUAAUUCAAAAUCUAUUAAUCCAUAUCUUUUUAAAGAUUACUCACAACUAAUUUAAUUUGUUGAUCCAAUAGUAUAGUAUUAAAAAAAGGGAUAAGGCCCAAGUACCCCCUCAACCUAUGCCCGAAAUCUCAGAGACACACUUAUACUAUACUAAGGUCCUAUUACCCCCGUGAACUUAUUUUAUUAAUAAUUUUUUACCCCUUUUCGACCUACGUGGCACUAUCUUGUGGGUCCAACGAUGGUUGACUUUUUUUUUCAAACUAGUGCCACGUAGGCUAAAAAGGGGUAGAAAAUUACUUAUAAAAUAAGUUCAGAGGGAUAAUAGGACCUUAGUAUAGUAUAAGUGUGUCUCUGGAAUUUCGGGCAUAGGUUGAGGGGGUACUUGUUCAUUAUCCCUUAAAAAAACAAACAAAUCUAGCAGGAUUUUUGAAAAAAAUAUAUUCUUUGAAAAAUAAAUCAAUAAUUAAUCAUUUACUUCUCACGUUAUAAAUAGUCAGCAUAUUAUGGAUAUCUAAAAAGGGGGAUAUUGUAGUUGAAGUAUUUUAUUAUAUUCCAUUAAUUAAGUAAUUAACUCCUCAUGGAGUUGUGUAAUGACACUUUCUUCAAAAAUAAGUAAAAGAAAAUACUAUUAACAAUAAUUAUAGUGAAGGGAAAUAUUGAAAAUAAAAUAAAAUAAACUUUAAUUGAGUCAAAAACACAUCAAUGUCAUGAAGUUGAAACAAAGAAUCUAAAUGAUGAGUCAGUAUUGUGUAAUUCUCCACCGCCCUGUUUUUGUUUCUAUUGGGGUUAUUAAUUUUUUCAAAAGAAGAAAAUAUUUAUAUAUGAAUUUCAAAUUUAAUAUUUUUAUACAAAUUUUGAUUAAGUUUUAUAUAUAAAAAAUAUUAAAUUCGAUUAAACUUAUAAAAUAUAACAUACAAUAGCUUAUUUGGAUAAAUUAAUAAAUUAAUUAAACUAGUUAGCUUAUUAUAAUUUUUUUUGGUUUUAUUCGUCAAGUGCUUAUAAAUUAUAAUCAGUCAUAAGCUAAUUACUCCGACUCAUGAUUUUAUAAUUACAAAUUUUUAAUUCUAUUAUCCUUUGUAAUCUUCAAAAAAUACUCUUCAUAUAAUAUACUAACUUUUAAUUAUUUUUCUAUUUUAUUUCCAUCCUUUGUUUUUCUUAAUAUAAAAACACUUUAAAUUUAUAUAUUUAAUAAAUAUAUUUAAAGACAUCAUUAAAAUAUAAUAAGUAUUUAUUAAAAUACUCUUAUCAGACACACAAGACAUGACUAACUUAUCAUAAAGUUCAACAAAUUCACGUAAUUGUAUAAUUAUUUAUUUUUAAAAUUAUUUUAACUUCUUAAAUAUUUUUAAUCAGCUAAUUCAAACGAUCUAUUAAUAGAGUCCUAAUUAACCGUCGUUUUAAUUUAUUGUAACUAUCAAGAAAAUGAAAAACAUGUGUAAUGUUGGAUUAUAAAAAAUUAUUAAAAGAGACUUUGACUAUGACGUGGUGAUUAAUACCCUCCCAAUAUUUUGGCAUUAAAAUUAAUUAUUAUCCAAGGGAAAAAAAAUACGAAUUAAACAUCCAUAUUCAUAAUGCAUGCAUGAAAAAAUAAUAAUCAAAGAUUAAGUGCUUUACGUAAUUUGCAUUGAGUGGAUUAUUAGGACUUUUUUUAAAAAAAAAAAAAGUAUAAUUUUGCUUCCAAAAUCAAACAAGAUGAUUAAUCUUUCAUUAUCUUCUUAUUAAUAAUAUAUAUGUUCGAUGGUGGCUUGACUUUUAUGUCCUUUUUUUUUCCUUUUUUCAUUUUCUUUUUGUGUUUAGCACAACUAAUUAAAAUUUUCUCCAUCUCAAAUUAUCUAUCGUAAAUACGUAAAUACAUAAAAAUAGUUAUCUUAAAUUAUUUACAGUCUUAAAAAUUUAAGAUAAAACUAAGCAUUUUUUUCCGUCUUUAACCAUAGUAAUAAUGAUUGUUACUAAGAUUAUAGAAAAUGGAUAUCUAAAAUGUUGAAUUACUUUUAAAAAAACAAACUUUUUUGUUGUUAUUAUUAAGGGUAUGGGAUCCAUGUCAGCUAAGUAUGGAAUUUUUUUUUGUUUAUAGAAAAAAAACAUACAUACAUGUUACCACAUGACAAAAAGAAAAAGUAAAAUGUUUAUUUUUGCAGCUUUUGUUAUAAAAGAAGUACUAUUGAAGAAAAAAUGCAUGGUAAAUCUUUAAAAAGUUUAUAUUCGAUUCAAUAUUUAUCCUCAAAACAACUCAUGUUAUGUCAAAUUAAAGUUUAAAUGUCUUUGCUAUAAUAUGCUUAGGUGAAAUUGCAUGUGAUGAUGAAUAAAGUUGUGCCUCUCUAAUUUUAAUUAUCAAUUAGGAUAAUAAUAAAACAUUUAAUAUUUUUAGCAUCAGAAUGUGUAACGACCUGUUUAGUCGUUUUGGGCAGCAGACUUCAAUUCUGAAAAAAUUGGCAGAAGCGACGGAUCCCACGACGGACCGUCAUGGGCACGACGGACCGUCGCAGGGUCUCGUUUCAAAACACUUAGAAAAUCUGAAAUUGGGUACUGAAAAUCGACUCUCUGAACUUCGUGACGGAAUGGCAGGACGGACCGUCACAGACUCUUCAGAGAAAUUGAGUCUCUGAACUCUGUGACGGGCAGCAGGACGGACCGUCGCAGGCACGACGGGCCGUCACAGGCUGCGUAAUCCCAGUUCGGGUCGGAUUUCUUUAUACGUUUAAGGGACGUUUUUUACUAUUCCUGCCUUAAUUAUAAAGUUAGUGGGUUAAUGUUAAUAAGUCUAAUUACUUGGGGGUUAAAAGAGUUAACCUUAAGUUAAUUAGUGGGGUAUUAUUGCCAUCUUUUAUUCUUAAUUAUAUACUAAUUAGGGUAAAAGAAAGAGGGUUUGAAUAAAGAAAAUAGAAAGAACAAGAAGAGAGAGAGAGGGUCGAUCGAGAAGGGGAAACACAAAGCUUUGGAGAAAAUUGCUUGCUUGAUCACUAAUCUUCGGUGGAGGUAGGUUAUGGUUUUCAUGCUAUUCGUAGUAAACUCUUAAUAGCGAAUGAUAUGUGUUAGUAGUAUUGUAAACCCUUCUAUAUUGCUUAAUAUAUACUGUUUUCUAUUUUGAGUUGGCCGAUGAUAUCUACUCAGUACCCGUGUUUUGUACUGACCCCUACUUUUAUGUUUUCUUCUUUGUUAAUUGUGGAGUGCAGCAAACGUGCCAUCGUCUUCAACUCAACCGCAACUCUAGCCAGUUUUCGUCACAUCGGAUCUUCAGGGUGAGCUAAUGCUUCUAGCUUGGACUGGAUCUUCUUCCUCAUGUCUUGAUGCCUUGAAGUUCCGGCAUGGACUAGCUUUUACUUGUUUUAGUUUUUAGAAUACUCUUAGUCUAGUAAUUUGAUCAUAGAUGUUCUUGUGAUGAUGACUUCCAGAUUUUGGGAAAUAAUAGAUGUUGAAUUUUAAAAGUUAAUGGAUUGGUUUUAUUUAAUGAGUUUGAGUCUUCCGCAUUAUUUACUGUUGAUAUUACAUUGAAAUGUUAAGGUUUAGAUUGGUUGGUUCGCUCACAUAGGAGGGUAAGUGUGGGUGCCAGUCGCGGCCCGGAUUUGGGUAGUGACAGAAUGGUUUUUGUUGUAAUUUUCAUAAUAUUUUUUACGUAUAAAUUAGAUUUACGAUUCACUAGUGAAAGUACUAAAAUCAAAUAAAUUCAAU
This 4722-nucleotide long non-coding RNA is filed under the name Solanum lycopersicum (tomato). Its description in RNAcentral is "long non-coding RNA (SLYC_LNC000862)". Lineage: Eukaryota; Viridiplantae; Streptophyta; Magnoliopsida; Solanales; Solanaceae. The record is from RNAcentral.